UUUUUUCAGAUAAACAUAUGAAGAGAAUAUUUUUUUAAUAAUUUAAAUUAGUAUUUUUAUUUAUGAUGUAAUUUUUAGUCGGAUCAAAUUUAUUAUUGAGUUGAUGGAUCAAUCCAAUCAUAAGGCAUAUGUAUUAUUCUCUUCUUAUGUAUUACUUCGUGAUUGGACUAGAAUGGUCUACCAGCUAAGCGAUAGUAUUGGUAAAUCAAUGAUCAGUCCUCCA
RNAcentral lists this long non-coding RNA (223 nucleotides) under Elaeis guineensis (African oil palm). RNAcentral's name for it is "long non-coding RNA (EGUI_LNC003742)". The record is from RNAcentral. Lineage: Eukaryota; Viridiplantae; Streptophyta; Magnoliopsida; Arecales; Arecaceae.